GACAGACAGUGCGGGCGUUAUUCGGAUUGACUGGGCGUAAAGGGUACGUAGGUGGCUAAAAUAACUGUGUUCGAAAAGCUAGAGCAUAACUGUAGAUAUGAACAUACCGAUUUUUGGGCUAAGAGUUAAGCAGAGGUUGGAAUAAUUUCUAGUGUAAGAGUAAAAUCUAACAAUAUUAGAAGGAAUACCAAGGGCGAAAGCAUCUUUCUGGGCUUAACUGACGCUGAGGUACGGAGGCGUGGGUAGCAAACAGG
Molecule: ribosomal RNA, 254 nt
Filed under: uncultured bacterium
Lineage: Bacteria
Description: partial 16S ribosomal RNA
Rfam family: Bacterial small subunit ribosomal RNA
Source: RNAcentral